GUGUCAGUGGAGUGACUGUAGUGACUCAGAGUCCAGUAAUCACAGUCAGUAAAGGACAAACCGCUCAACUGGACUGUAAUCUGGGGACAGUGACUGAUUCUGGUGUUAGAUGACUGAGGAGGUUUUUGUACGGCUGAACAUAUCAAAUCUUUCACUGUGGUAUUCGGACAAGGAACUAAACUCAUUGUGACGGACGCUGCUGCUGCUCCUCCUGUGCUCACCAUCCUCCGUCCAUCAUCCAGAGAAGAGCUGAGCUCCAGUAAAGUCACUCUGCUGUGUCUGAUCAAUCACAUGUCUGUGGCUUUCGCUGAUGUGCGUUGGCUUGUGAACGGGAACUCGGUUACCGAAGGCGUCUUCACCGGCUCUGCUGAACAGCAGCCUGAUCACAAAUUCAAGAGCAGCAGUUCUUUAACCAUCCAGAGGUCCGAGUGGGACAAAGACAGAGAGCUGACAUGUGAAGCCACUGUGGCCUCCAAAACCAGCAGAGCAAGCAUCAGGAAAUCUGAAUGCAGCGACUGAACCUGGAGAAGCGGAUGUGCUGUUCUACUGUUAUCAGAGCUGAUCAUAUCUCUUGCUGGAGUGGCUCAUCAAUAUAGAGAGUGUUCAAAUAAAGCCUCCUCAUUUUCUGCUGAUGAUCUUUCACCUUUAAUGUUGAUGUGAGCUGAUUUACAACUGUUUUAAUAAACUGCAUCUUUAACAAA
This 701-nucleotide long non-coding RNA is filed under the name Danio rerio (zebrafish). RNAcentral describes it as "lncRNA linc-iglc3 (ENSDARG00000069839.6)". The record is from RNAcentral. Lineage: Eukaryota; Metazoa; Chordata; Actinopteri; Cypriniformes; Danionidae.